Molecule: long non-coding RNA, 3316 nt
Organism: Symphalangus syndactylus (siamang)
Lineage: Eukaryota; Metazoa; Chordata; Mammalia; Primates; Hylobatidae
Source: RefSeq, a predicted model, not a curated record
AACUUGCGCCUUGGAAAUACUGCCGGCUAGCGCUUCGGGAAACGCCUCCCCUUAACUCUGAAGUUCUGCGAUCUUCUCUUUGUGCGUGGGCGGAUGGAUCAACGCCGCCAAGUGGGAAAGGUCUGAGGAUUGCGUCAUUAGGCGAUUUUGUUGCCGUGCGAACACCACAGAAUGUACUUUGACGACCUAGAUGGUAGAGCCUGGACACACCUCGGCUGUGUGAUGUGGCGUGUUGCUUCCAGGCUGCAAACCUUACAGCAUGGGGCUGUACUGAAUACCGCAGACCAUUGUAAUUCAUGGGAAAAGCGUGAAUGCAGUCCCCCACUACCACAAAUUAUGCAGUGGAGUUUUCCACAUUUGGGGACAUCGCAGGGGUCAGCACAUCCGGAGUGCAAUCGGUGAGCCUCACCCUGAAAAAAACCACCUUCGUGAUCAUGGUAUCUUCCCUGCCAGGUGAGUAUUCGAAUUCCCAUUUAUUGAAGGAAUGGAUUAACAGGUAAAUAUAUGCAUGAAUACAAGCCCACAUGAGUAGGGGAACAGAUUGUUUUCUUUGCUCAGAAAAAUAAUCCUUCUUCCAAAUGUGUACCAUACUGUCUACCUGCCUCCCCUGAAAUUUAAUGGGUUUCUAAAAUAGGUCUUAUCCAACUUACCUGUGGUUAUCUUAUAUUAGGUGAUCACCGACCAGUUACUAAGAUACCCACUGUCACUUAGACUCCUAAGUUUUCUUUACUGGUAUUUCCUUGUAUUCCUCACUCUUGCUUCCUUUGUUUGCAUUAACUGGAAUUUUCUCUCUCAAGCAACCUAAUCACAGAGUUCCCAGCCCGAUGCUACAAAGAGCUGCAUGCUGCCAGUUUCCUUGUGGGCAGGGACCUAUGUAUUAUAAUGGUGAAUAGAUUUAUACUUGAAUCCACAGAGAAGACACAGACUAGUUAUACCAUUGGAAGGCCGAAGAACUCUAUUUCUGGCCAGAGCUGCUGCAGAAGGUCUCUGUUCAGCAUCAGGGUGGAUCAUGUUCUGAUGAUAUAGGACCAAGAGGAAAGAAACAGAAGCUUCAUUAUUGGGAAAAAUCUUCCCACUCAAGCCAACUCCAACCCAGCUUCUCCUGGUGGAUUUUAGAGAAACCAAUCAGCUUCAUUUUCAACUUCUUCUAUGACUCCAGAGGAUUCACUUUGCAUCUUGUGACAAAUGAAGAUAUUACCUGAAAAAAUAAAGACAGGAUAGAUGAAUCUGGCAGAAUCCAGGACCGGGAUUACCCUUAUUUAUGAAGUGACCUUAGACUAACAGUGGCUCUCUGGGCCUCCAGACAAUUGGCCAGGGACUCUAAAAACCAGAAACAAAGUUGAGAUAACUCCAGGCUGGUGGAGAAAAACAGCUGGCCUUUAUCACCAGAACGUGCCCCAUAGAAGCAACAAAGCAAGCAGCAAGUGACCUUCUUAAGGGCCUGUGGGCCUCAUCAAGAUCUGGAGGAGUCAUCUACUACUCACUGCUGAGUGAGAGGGCUAGGCAGUGUCUUUAAGGUCCUGCCAGCUUUAACAUUGUAUGCUUUUUCUUUUGUUCAAUCUCUCACCACAACUGGAAGUGUUGCCUCAACUACACAGGAGAAAGUUUGCAGUAACUUAGAGAAAACAUUAUUUUAAUCACCAGCAUAUGUUCUCCGGCUCCCUGGACAAAUCUGCUGCAGUGGAUGUGAAUCCAUUGAAACCAGGGGUCUCCAGUGCUCCUGACUCCUCACAGCUCUGUUCCUAUGACAAGGAUGGUCAGCAAAGCCAGCAACCUUGAAGGGGGACCUUCUCCUAAUCUCCUCCCUGCCUGCUGAGAGAGUGUACAGAAGCAGCCACCUGUCAGCUGCGAUGAAUCCAAUGAUAAUUACAUAAAUCAUUAACAAUACUUGAUAUGUGCCCAUCACAUUUCUCAUUUCAAAGUGCUCGUAAAAUUAUAUCUUAUGGGUGGCGCUGCCGGCACAACAGAAUUCCAAGGAAGAUUAUGGGCUAAGUAAAUAAAGCCUGGAGGCUGCUUUAAAGCUUAGGAGUCUGUUAUUAACACUUUCCUCCUUUUUGUUUAACUUUUUCUUAUGGAAAUGUUCAAACAUACCAAAAAUAGAGAAAAUAUUAUAAUGAGUCCUCAUGUAUCCAUAACCUAGCUUCAAAAAUUAUGUAUGGCUUUACAGUCUUGUUUAGUUCAUAACUGCAACUUCAUUGAGGGUGAGUGCUGGGGUAUUCUGAAGCAAAUCAGUGACAACAUAUUUUACCCAUGGAUACUUUGGUGCCAUUAAUAAAAACCCCCUAGGUUAUUCUAUUAAUUUGAAAUCUACUAUAAAUCUAUCUGAUGAAUAAAUCAAACAGAUUUUAACAAAUUGCUUCUCUUGCCAAAGUUUCCCAUUUGCUAGAACUAGAGAUUAUUCAUCAAAAUAGCUAUGACAGUAGAAACACACCACUUGUCUACUCACACAAGACAUAGCAUACUUAGAAUAGGAAUAGAUCUCUGAUUUGAUGUCCCAGUAAUUUAGAGAUUGAUGAUAUCCUACCGAUACUUUAAGGAGCAGACAUUUUAAAACGACGGUACAGACCCACUAGUCUGACCUUUUCUCUGUUAGUCACAGUUGGGCUGUAGUCAUUCCCACAUUCCCUAAGAUUAGAACAGGUAAUGGGUCACCUGUGUGACCUGCACCAAGGCCAGCCCCACCGCCCCCGGCCACAGAAAUAAGAUCUCUCUCUCUGUCUCUGUGUGUGUGUGUAUGUAUGUGUGUAUGUCUGUUUCUGCCUCUCCCACAUCACACACACACACACACACACACACACACUCACACACACAGCACCUCGCUGGGAAGAAAUGAGCAGGUAUGGAAGAGACAUUCCCAGAGAUGGAUCUGUACUGCGCUCAGUCUUGACUUAUUUGCUGUCAGUGCUCCAAGGGAUGAGCUCUGGAGGUCACCAGUAACUUGGUCAAACAUCCCCAGCUACUUCUUCAUCCUUCUGAUCCAAUCAAGAGAUUCCUACACUGAAGUUUUACCUUCAUAAAACAUUUUGUGAUUUUUUUGAAAUGUGGUAAAGAAGAAUUUAAGCUCUUCCGCAGGAGGUAACUACUAGAAACUGAAGAUAAACUGUCAAAAGUGGCUGUUUCUAAGGAUGGAGAAGGGGAUGGCGGGGUUAGAGGAGGUGGUUGCUGCACGAUGUGUCUUGCAUGCAAUUUGAUCAUUUAACUUUUUGCCAUAAAUACAUACUCAUUAAAAUGUUUAAAAUAAACUUUUUAAAUGUAAUCAAGCAAACACAGAAAUGCACAUGUUUUUUAAACUGGUGAAUAAAGUGCUUGAAUCUUU